UGAGGCUAGAGAAGGGUAUGGAAUUCCUUG
This 30-nucleotide non-coding RNA is filed under the name Mus musculus (house mouse). Lineage: Eukaryota; Metazoa; Chordata; Mammalia; Rodentia; Muridae. The record is from RNAcentral.